Molecule: ribosomal RNA, 253 nt
Filed under: uncultured bacterium
Lineage: Bacteria
Description: partial 16S ribosomal RNA
Rfam family: Bacterial small subunit ribosomal RNA
Source: RNAcentral
GACGAACCGUCCAAACGUUAUUCGGAAUUACUGGGCUUAAAGGGUGCGUAGGCGGCGCGGUCAGUCGGAUGUGAAAUCGCUCAGCUCAACUGAGCAACUGCGUCUGAUACUACCGUGCUUGAGGAAGGCAGAGGUGAGCGGAACUCAGGGUGGAGCGGUGAAAUGCGUUGAUAUCCUGGGGAACACCGGUGGCGAAGGCGGCUCACUGGGCCUUUUCUGACGCUGAGGCACGAAAGCUAGGGUAGCGAACGGG